AGCUGACGAGCUCCUGAACCUGGUGGUGGACCAGGGUGUGAAGUACACGGAGCUGGAGUACAUCCACGCCCUGACCCUGCUGCACCGCAGCCAGACGGGGGUGGGGGAACUGACCACCCAGAACAUGAGGCUGCAGCGGCUCAAAGAGAUCAUCUGCGAGCAGGCUGCCAUCAAGCAAGCCACCAAGGACAAAAAGAUAACUACCGUUUAGCAGGGCGUACGGUGGUUGGUGACAGGGGUCCCCUCAGUCACACUCACUUUUUUCCUUGCAAAUAUUCCCCAGAAGCGUAAUAUGUGCUCCAUGCUGCCACACACAAGGGCAAAUGGAUAGAUGAAGAGGACACCCUUAUUAUCUAAGAGUGUGGGAACUGGACUGGAGCCAAAAAUCCCAACAGCUCAAACUCAGGGCUGGGUCAGAAUCAGGCGGAGAACCCGGAGUGGUGACAGUGAUGGCAGCAGAGCCAGGGUGAGACUGAGAGUGCUCAGACUAAUUUUCUUGGAAGUAGUGGAAAGUUCCACUAAAAAAGAGACGUGGGUUUGGAUUGAGCAGAAUGUCAAGAGCCCUGAGAACCAACCAAAAAAUGGCAGAUGCGCUGUUUCAGGGGCAACAUUUAGGAAAGUGAAAUCUCUGCUUUGCUUACAAUGACGGGACUGAAAGUGGCAAUUCUGCACAGGAAAGGGGCUCUGGAACUCUUCCAAGACAUUUAGGACAUCCAAGUUUCUUUGAAGGUUGGCACAUCAGUCUUUAUUCUU
RNAcentral lists this small RNA (753 nucleotides) under Pongo abelii (Sumatran orangutan). RNAcentral's name for it is "processed transcript". Lineage: Eukaryota; Metazoa; Chordata; Mammalia; Primates; Hominidae. The record is from RNAcentral.